AUUGAACGCUGGCGGCAGGCCUAACACAUGCAAGUCGAGCGGAUGAAGGGAGCUUGCUCCUGGAUUCAGCGGCGGACGGGUGAGUAAUGCCUAGGAAUCUGCCUGGUAGUGGGGGAUAACGUCCGGAAACGGGCGCUAAUACCGCAUACGUCCUGAGGGUGAAAGUGGGGGAUCUUCGGACCUCACGCUAUCAGAUGAGCCUAGGUCGGAUUAGCUAGUUGGUGGGGUAAAGGCCUACCAAGGCGACGAUCCGUAACUGGUCUGAGAGGAUGAUCAGUCACACUGGAGCGGGGACACGGUCCAGGCUCCUACGGGAGGCAGCAGUGGGGAAUAUUGGACAAUGGGCGGAAGCCUGGUCCAGCCAUGCGGCGUGUGUGAAGAAGGUCUUCGGAUUGUAAAGCACUUUAAGUUGGGAGGAAGGGCAGUAAGUUAAUACCUUGCUGUUUUGACGGUACCAACAGAAUAAGCACCGGCUAACUUCGUG
This 484-nucleotide ribosomal RNA is filed under the name uncultured bacterium. RNAcentral's name for it is "partial 16S ribosomal RNA". It matches the Rfam family "Bacterial small subunit ribosomal RNA", at positions 30 to 507 of the family's 1533-position model. The record is from RNAcentral.